GGGUUAAGUCCCGCAACGAGCGCAACCCUAUCUUAUGUUGCCAGCACGUUAUGGUGGGGACUCGUAAGAGACUGCCGGGGUCGAACUCGGAGGAAGGUGGGGACGGACGUCAAGUCAUCAUGCCCCUUAUGCCCAGGGCUUCACACAUGCUACAAUGGCCAGUACAGAGGGCUGCGAGACCGUGAGGUGGAGCGAAUCCCUUAAAGCUGGUCUCAGUUCGGAUCGGGGUCUGCAACUCGACCCCGUGAAGUCGGAGUCGCUAGUAAUCGCAGAUCAGCAACGCUGCGGUGAAUACGUUCCCGGGCCUU
RNAcentral lists this ribosomal RNA (308 nucleotides) under uncultured Rhodococcus sp. Its description in RNAcentral is "bacterial SSU rRNA". It matches the Rfam family "Bacterial small subunit ribosomal RNA", at positions 1077 to 1382 of the family's 1533-position model. Lineage: Bacteria; Bacillati; Actinomycetota; Actinomycetes; Mycobacteriales; Nocardiaceae. The record is from RNAcentral.